Molecule: ribosomal RNA, 463 nt
Filed under: uncultured bacterium
Lineage: Bacteria
Description: partial 16S ribosomal RNA
Rfam family: Bacterial small subunit ribosomal RNA
Source: RNAcentral
GACGAACGCUGGCGGCGUGCCUAACACAUGCAAGUCGAGCGAAUGAAGUUCCUUCGGGAAUGGAUUUAGCGGCGGACGGGUGAGUAACACGUGGGCAACCUGCCUCAUAGAGGGGAAUAGCCUCCCGAAAGGGAGAUUAAUACCGCAUAAGAUUGUAGUACCGCAUGAUACAGCAAUUAAAGGAGCAAUCCGCUAUGAGAUGGGCCCGCGGCGCAUUAGCUAGUUGGUGAGGUAAUGGCUCACCAAGGCGACGAUGCGUAGCCGACCUGAGAGGGUGAUCGGCCACAUUGGGACAGGGACACGGCCCAGACGCCUAGGGGAGGCAGCAGGGGGGAAUAUUGGACAAGGGGGGAAACCCUGAUGCAGCAAGGCCGCGGGAGUGAUGACGGCCUUCGGGUUGUAAAGCUCUGUCGUCAGGGACGAUAAGGAGGGUACCGGAGGAGGAAGCCACGGCUAAUUACUG